GUUGAACGCUGGCGGCAUGCCUUACACAUGCAAGUCGAACGGCAGCACGGGAGCAAUCCUGGUGGCGAGUGGCGAACGGGUGAGUAAUAUAUCGGAACGUGCCCAGUCGUGGGGAUAACGUAGCGAAAGCUACGCUAAUACCGCAUACGAUCUAUGGAUGAAAGCGGGGGAUCGCAAGACCUCGCGCGAUUGGAGCGGCCGAUAUCAGAUUAGGUAGUUGGUGAGGUAAAGGCUCACCAAGCCGACGAUCUGUAGCUGGUCUGAGAGGACGACCAGCCACACUGGGACUGAGACACGGCCCAGACUCCUACGGGAGGCAGCAGUGGGGAAUUUUGGACAAUGGGCGCAAGCCUGAUCCAGCAAUGCCGCGUGCAGGAUGAAGGGCCUUACGGGUU
Molecule: ribosomal RNA, 395 nt
Filed under: uncultured bacterium
Lineage: Bacteria
Description: bacterial SSU rRNA
Rfam family: Bacterial small subunit ribosomal RNA
Source: RNAcentral